Ornithorhynchus anatinus (platypus) is the source of this 257-nucleotide long non-coding RNA. RefSeq lists it as uncharacterized. NCBI's taxonomy places the organism in Eukaryota, Metazoa, Chordata, Mammalia, Monotremata, Ornithorhynchidae. The record is from RefSeq and is a predicted model, not a curated record. The transcript is spliced from 2 exons.
AUUCUCAUUUGCAGAUCGUCUCUAAGAACCCGAAUGGCCAACGCGACCGCCGUUCUUCUAACCCGUGUAAUCGUGGCCGUAGCUGCACACAGAAGUAUGUGGACUUGAGAUCAUGUAAACAUCUGUAGACAUUUGGAGAGGAGGAGAGAAGCAGAACUGGAAAAAAAUGACAUUGGGCUUCAGACUCUGUUAGUCUGCUACUUACAGUGCUGUAUGAAGAUCACAAUGCUGUCAUAUAUAUUAUAAGCUAUUUCUAA